Long non-coding RNA from Bombyx mori (domestic silkworm), 3508 nucleotides. RefSeq lists it as uncharacterized. The transcript has 3 exons. The record is from RefSeq and is a predicted model, not a curated record. NCBI's taxonomy places the organism in Eukaryota, Metazoa, Arthropoda, Insecta, Lepidoptera, Bombycidae.
GCUGUUUUGCACGAUGGCGGUCUGAGCACCGUGAUGCGUAUGUAAUGUGGAUCUUCAUCAUUCGCCUCUUUGGCUUGUAUCAUAAUAAUAUUAUGAUCUAACCAAGAGCCUACAUAAGAAACAUACAAAAAACGUUUUCUUUGAAUAGGCUUUCACUUUUAAAUCGACAUCACUUUAUCGCUGAUUCGGAAUGCAGUAUUACCCUUGAGAAUAAUCAACAAAGAAUUUAGAUCUCGCUCUUUUACAAACAAAAAUAAUAAAAAAUUAAAGUAGCUCAUUUAUUCAUGAUGUAUUAAAUAUAUAGAAGACAAGAUGUAUUGAAAAUUCGAAUUUGAAUUAGAAGAAACGUACCUGCGUUCUAUGUCCGAGUACUGGUCAUAUAUCAUUGUCACUAUUUGUCACCUAUCCAUCUGACAUCAUAGCUAUCAACAAAAUUAAAUAGAUAUUCCAGGAAAACAUACAAGAAAAUCCGACGAGAUGAUUACAAUGUCGAUUCGCAGAGUCCCAAUAACGAUUUAAAUACAGACACCGCAGACGUUUCUCCGAGAAGCGAUGGCGGAAAUGAAAUUAUUGUUACUGCAGAGUCUCCUCCUGGCUGUACUUGUGAUUUAGAGUCGGAAGGUGAAAUUGCUAAUAUAUUACACAAGAAAUGUCCUGUAAUUACAUUAGCGCAGCAACAACUUCAGCGCUUGUUAGAUGAAACAGACAAGUUACUCUGUGACAAUACAAGAUGUUGUAGGUCUAUUUAUGAUUUUUUACACUUAUGCUCAGAAUUAAUAUCCACAAAGAAUAAAUGUCGGUGUAUAUUGGUCUUUAUGCUAGCUAUGGUGUUUUUUGUCGGACUUGUUCUCGGUGCUGCUUCGUGCGGCUCCUACCACGGACAUUUCAACAGUCCCAUCAUUAGUUGCAUCGAUAACUUCUUCAUAAGUGACAGUCAUUCCAACAUAGAAGAUACUUACCGGAUCGUUGUGUGAUGAUUGAUCAAUUUAUGUCACUCAUUCUAACAUAGAAGAUACUUACCGGAUCGUUGUGUGAUGAUUGAUCAAUUUAUGUCACUCAUUCUAACAUAGAAGAUACUUACCGGAUCGUUGUGUGAUGAUUGAUCAAUUUAUGUCACUCAUUCUAACAUAGAAGAUACUUACCGGAUCGUUGCGAUGAAGGAUUACCGUGAAACAAAAGUCAAUCCGAAAAACAUAUAUUUUUGCGUAAUUACUAGUGGUAGGGUGUCAUGUGAGCCCAAACGGGUGGGUAGCACCAUCCUGCCUAUAUCUGCCGGGAAGCGGUAAGGCGUUUCGGUUUGAAGGGUGUGGGAGCCGUUGUAUUGUAAAAACUGAGACUUUGAACUCAUUUCGCAAGAUGGGCGGCGGCUUGGACGUGGUUGAUGUCUAUGGACUCCGGUGACAACCUAACAUUAGGCGGGCCAUGUUCUGGACCAUUCAUAUUAGCAAUAAGAAAAAAAAAUCAACGUGUAACUCCGGAAUACACCACUGGGUCAGAACUAGUAUGGGUCGGUGAUCACGGCCAUCCUUCACCCGGUUGCUCUUUCGCAAGACGCAUGUACAGCUACUUAUACAACCAGAAGAUAUUAAGAAUCAUAUCAAUCGAUUGACGACAAAACCAGAUCCUGCGGAAAGAAUGGAAAGCAGUUGACGUCGCCCCAAGCAUGUCAUUUCGGAUCCUCCCGAUCCACUAAUGGUGCUUUUAGGUACUUCAAGCACCGGUCACCGUUCUCGUCGAACCCGUCGCUUUCGACGAAGGGCUCGACGAGUAAAUUAACCCUGAGACACAGCCCAUUGAGUUUCUCGCCGGAUCUUCUCAGUGGGUCGCGUUCCCGAUUCGGUGGUAGAUUCUGCGAAGCACGGCUCUUGCUACGGUUAGUGUUAGCAACUUCGUCAGGCUUGAGCCCCGUGAGCUUACCUACUAGUUAAGGUUCCGCUGAAAUAGCCUCUCAAGGCUAUCAGCUUAGGUAGGAAAAAAAAGACGACAAAAUAUCAUAAAUUCAUUUUCUCUACAAAUGGGAUUAUUGGAAUAGUACAGAACAAUCUAAAAUCUAAAUGAACAACAUCUAGGUACUCAUUUCUUAAGAGACUUUACUGCAAGAUUGUCUUGGUGUAGCCUUAUGAUCUUCUGUGACAUCUCUAGCGUCUGAUAUCUUCAUGGAGGACUUUGAAUUUAAAACAUCAUCAUUUGGCCCUGUUCAAUACCAGAUUUACAAAUGGUAGAUGCUCUUUCUGUUCUUUCACAGUAUUAUAUAAGAAAAAAUUAGGUAAGUCUUUAGAAUUCAAUUCAUGAUAAUAAUAGAUCACUUUUAUCAUGGAUUUAGUACACACAAUUAAUUAGCUUUUUUAUUAUACACAUUGAUUUUCAGAAAUUCUAAUAACACCAUUAGUCAAUAACUGUGUUUUGGAAACUUAACCAUAAUAAUAGAAACUUUAAUGGUGAAUUCCGUUAUGACCUAUGGCAAUUAUAUAUUUUUGAUAUUUGUAUUUGUAAUAGAGAGCUCAAGGUAAAUGUAACACAAUGAGAACAUUAUGUAAAAAAAAAAAACCAGUGGAAUGAGCUAUAUUCCUUGGCACUAGACCAGGAAAAUGCUAACAAAAAGAAGAAGGAAUGUGUCUUUUUUUUUUUUUUCGGGUAGAGGGCCGAACCUCCUACGAGGUCCCCGCGCAAAAGGGGCGCGCGGGGUAUGUGAGACUACGAUCUGCAUGGUGUUGUGAACAGACCGCGGGCCCAAGGAUUUUAGGGCCCACCCACUAAACGACUCCCCUGCACUCUUACACCCGACGUCCGAUCCCCUCCGAGGUCAGAACCCGGAUGAGGUAGGGGCGUUACCGCGGUCAACACUACAACCAGACGGCGCGGCUAACCCCAAGGACGCCCAGCCGACGGAGCCUUCGAGGCGAAUCGAAGGCUCUGAAACGUCGGCCGUCUCGGUACGGCAGCCCGUCGGGCCGCCCAGACGGUGCCGCUGGUGUCCCGGAAUACCCCGCUGGACCAAAACCAGCCUGCCGGGUCGGGACGCGAUACACCGUCGACCGGUCGCUCUAUUUACUGCUAUAUUGUUCCUGCUGUACAUCAAGGGAGGUAGAGAGAAGAUAGCAACCUCAUACAUUGGAUAGCAUUGGAGUAACACGCACAUUUAGUUACGAAUUAAGGAAAAUAUUGCAGAUGUCAAACCCAACAUAAGUCUGAUUUAUUUUAACAUACUCUGGACAGUGCUAAUAGUGAAAUUUAACAUGGCUCAAUACACCCUAAACAAUCCUUAAUUCCAUAAAUAGCUCAUGAAGCUAUUGUAAAUAAAAGGAAAAAAGGUUGGAUCAGAAAAAAAGUAAUCAUCUGACUAUUACAUGAAACCCCAAGUCAAACAAACUAUGAGACCUAAACAUUAUGUUCUAUGAAAAGGAGAGAAUAAAUAAUUGAUAAUUAUUAUUAAUUAUUUUUUUUCAUUUGUAAUGAUAUUUUAUUAUUAAAAUAAUAAUGAUUGUAAACAAUAAAUAAUUGCCAAUAA